Molecule: ribosomal RNA, 463 nt
Filed under: uncultured bacterium
Lineage: Bacteria
Description: bacterial SSU rRNA
Rfam family: Bacterial small subunit ribosomal RNA
Source: RNAcentral
GACGAACGCUGGCGGCGUGCCUAACACAUGCAAGUCGAACGGAGUUAAGACUUCGGUUUUAACUUAGUGGCGAACGGGUGAGUAACGCGUGAGGAACCUGCCUUUCAGUGGGGGACAACAGUUGGAAACGACUGCUAAUACCGCAUAACAUGUACGGAUCGCAUGGUCUGUACAUCAAAGCUUUAUGUGCUGAAAGAUGGCCUCGCGUCUGAUUAGAUAGUUGGUGAGGUAACGGCUCACCAAGUCGACGAUCAGUAGCCGGACUGAGAGGUUGAACGGCCACAUUGGGACUGAGAUACGGCCCAGACUCCUACGGGAGGCAGCAGUCGGGAAUAUUGCACAAUGGAGGAAACUCUGAUGCAGUGACGCCGCGUGCAGGAAGAAGGUUUUCGGGUUGUAAACUUCUUUUACCAGGGACGAAGACGUGACGGUACCUGGAGAAAAAGCCACGGCUAACUACGUG